RNAcentral lists this ribosomal RNA (490 nucleotides) under uncultured bacterium. Its description in RNAcentral is "partial 16S ribosomal RNA". It matches the Rfam family "Bacterial small subunit ribosomal RNA", at positions 28 to 507 of the family's 1533-position model. The record is from RNAcentral.
GAUGAACGCUAGCUACAGGCUUAACACAUGCAAGUCGCGGGGCAGCAUGGGGGUUGCUUGCAAUCCCCGAUGGCGACCGGCGCACGGGUGAGUAACGCGUAUUCAACCUGCCCUUCACCACGGGAUAACCCGGCGAAAGUCGGACUAAUACCGUAUGUUGUCCAUUGACGGCAUCCGAUUUGGACGAAAGGCUUGGCGGUGAGGGAUGGGGAUGCGUCCGAUUAGCCAGACGGCGGGGUAACGGCCCACCGUGGCUACGAUCGGUAGGGGUUCUGAGAGGAAGGUCCCCCACACUGGAACUGAGACACGGUCCAGACUCCUACGGGAGGCAGCAGUGAGGAAUAUUGGUCAAUGGGCGUAAGCCUGAACCAGCCAAGUAGCGUGCAGGAUGACGGCCCUAUGGGUUGUAAACUGCUUUUAUGCGGGGAUAAAGUGGCCCACGUGUGGGCUUUUGCAGGUACCGCAUGAAUAAGGACCGGCUAAUUCCGUG